Orbilia javanica is the source of this 93-nucleotide non-coding RNA. Lineage: Eukaryota; Fungi; Ascomycota; Orbiliomycetes; Orbiliales; Orbiliaceae. The record is from the annotation of a GenBank genome assembly.
UCCGAUAUGGUGUAGUGGUUAACAUCGUUCGCUCUCAUUGAAUCUGAUUCAUUAAGUCCCGAACAGCCCCGGGUUCGAUUCCCGGUGUCGGAA